This 478-nucleotide ribosomal RNA is filed under the name uncultured organism. RNAcentral's name for it is "partial 16S ribosomal RNA". It matches the Rfam family "Bacterial small subunit ribosomal RNA", at positions 332 to 801 of the family's 1533-position model. The record is from RNAcentral.
UACACUCCUGCGGGAGGCAGCAGUGGGGAAUUUUGGACAAUGGGCGAAAGCCUGAUCCAGCAAUGCCGCGUGAGUGAAGAAGGCCUUCGGGUUGUAAAGCUCUUUUGUCAGGGAAGAAACGGUGAAAGCUAAUAUCUUUUGCUAAUGACGGUACCUGAAGAAUAAGCACCGGCUAACUACGUGCCAGCAGCCGCGGUAAUACGUAGGGUGCAAGCGUUAAUCGGAAUUACUGGGCGUAAAGCGUGCGCAGGCGGUUUUGUAAGUCUGAUGUGAAAUCCCCGGGCUCAACCUGGGAAUUGCAUUGGAGACUGCAAGGCUAGAAUCUGGCAGAGGGGGGUAGAAUUCCACGUGUAGCAGUGAAAUGCGUAGAUAUGUGGAGGAACACCGAUGGCGAAGGCAGCCCCCUGGGUCAAGAUUGACGCUCAUGCACGAAAGCGUGGGGAGCAAACAGGAUUAGAUACCCCGGUAGUCCCAUGAU